Molecule: ribosomal RNA, 253 nt
Filed under: uncultured bacterium
Lineage: Bacteria
Description: partial 16S ribosomal RNA
Rfam family: Bacterial small subunit ribosomal RNA
Source: RNAcentral
UACGGAGGGUGCGAGCGUUAAUCGGAAUUACUGGGCGUAAAGCGCGCGUAGGCGGCUUUGCAAGUCGGGUGUGAAAUCCCCAGGCUUAACCUGGGAACUGCAUUCGAGACUGCAUUGCUAGAGUAUGGGAGAGGGAAGUGGAAUUUCCGGUGUAGCGGUGAAAUGCGUAGAUAUCGGAAGGAACAUCAGUGGCGAAAGCGACUUCCUGGACCAAUACUGACGCUCAUGUGCGAAAGCGUGGGGAGCAAACAGG